GGCGCCAGGUAAUCUUCAGCGAACUACAGUACCCAGUGGCCUUUGCGCUGGGGCGCUGUGUUUGGCAUUUCCGUACGUGCGGAAGGCGCGUGGGCGGGACUUCCGGCGUCUUCCUCGCGGCAGACAUCUUGUGGCUCAUGGUAGGCAUAGUUAGCGAGCUGUAGUUCGGUUCCGAGGUGAGGAAAGCGGGAAGGCCCGGGAAGAGACCCUGUCCUCACUAGGAAGAGUCUCUGCGGCCGCAGUGACCGCGAAGGCCUGGACCCAGACUUGGGAUCCUCACGGCUCUACGGUGUCCAGGCGGUGAUGGCGGCGGCUACGGGGAUGGGCCCGGCCUAGGUAGGUGCUGUGUCCCCGGACCUUGAUGCAGCCCGACCCUCACCUCCGAAUGCUAAGGCCCCGAAUGAGCGAGCGGUCGCUGUUGAAGUCACUGCAGCCCAGGUUCCAGGGCGUUUGUGGAUGGAGAUCCCAUGUCAAACAGCCAGUGGGAUGAGACGUGGGAGGAGCGACCGAUCUGGGAGCGCUCUGGAAACUGCGGUCCUGGCCUCUGCAGCAGAAGCAGCGUGUGAGCACUAGUCAUGGCAGGAGUGGCAGGGUUGCUGUGGCAGAAGAAGUGCUCAAGAUCCACGCAUAGGUGACUGCAGAAUGUGCAGAGGUUGCUGUUCCUUCUUGUAGCUGGACCAUGGACACCGCUGUUUUCCAUCAUUCCCUCACAUUGGUCCUCGGGGCUCAGCUGUGGGUACUGUCUCCUCCACUCCCUGUGUGCUCACAAGUCUUGGUGCACCAAACCCUUGCCAGGUAGGGUGUCAAGGUCAGGAGUUUUGUGGUCAGCCCAAUGGAUACUACCUUACUUGGCUUCUCCCAGGUUGGAUUGCUUUGUCCGUGCCCCUUUUCUUUAAUCAAUACUUCCCUGGACAUACUUGUGUCAUGAAUUA
This is a long non-coding RNA of Pteronotus mesoamericanus, 932 nucleotides long. RefSeq lists it as uncharacterized. The record is from RefSeq and is a predicted model, not a curated record. Lineage: Eukaryota; Metazoa; Chordata; Mammalia; Chiroptera; Mormoopidae. The transcript has 3 exons.